UCGAGCGAGGCGGGUAGCAAUACCCAGUCGAGCGGCGAACGGGUGAGUAACGCGUGGAUGACCUGCCCUCCAGUGGGGAAUAACCCGGGGAAACUCGGGCUAAUACCGCAUACGACCGAGAGGUGAAAGAGGGGCGCAAGCCUCUUGUUGAAGGAGGGGUCCGCGUUCGAUUAGCUAGUUGGUAGGGUAAUGGCCUACCAAGGCGACGAUCGAUAGCCGGCCUGAGAGGGUGAUCGGCCACACUGGAACUGAGACACGGUCCAGACUCCUACGGGAGGCAGCAGUGGGGAAUUUUGCGCAAUGGGCUAACGCCUGACGCAGCAACGCCGCGUGGAGGAUGAAGGUCUUUGGAUUGUAAACUCCUGUCAGCAGGGAAAAAGGGAGCUGGCCUAAUACGCCGGUAACUUGAUUGUACCUGCAGAGGAAGCCCCGGCUAACUCUGUGCCAGCAGCCGCGGUAAUACAGAGGGGGCAAGCGUUA
RNAcentral lists this ribosomal RNA (480 nucleotides) under uncultured bacterium. Its description in RNAcentral is "bacterial SSU rRNA". It matches the Rfam family "Bacterial small subunit ribosomal RNA", at positions 62 to 543 of the family's 1533-position model. The record is from RNAcentral.